This 576-nucleotide ribosomal RNA is filed under the name uncultured bacterium. Its description in RNAcentral is "bacterial SSU rRNA". It matches the Rfam family "Bacterial small subunit ribosomal RNA", at positions 102 to 674 of the family's 1533-position model. The record is from RNAcentral.
ACGGGUGAGUAAUGUAUCGGAACGUGCCUAGUAGCGGGGGAUAACUACUCGAAAGAGUAGCUAAUACCGCAUACGCCCUACGGGGGAAAGGGGGGGAUCGCAAGACCUCUCACUAUUAGAGCGGCCGAUAUCGGAUUAGCUAGUUGGUGAGGUAAAGGCUCACCAAGGCGACGAUCCGUAGCUGGUUUGAGAGGACGACCAGCCACACUGGGACUGAGACACGGCCCAGACUCCUACGGGAGGCAGCAGUGGGGAAUUUUGGACAAUGGGGGAAACCCUGAUCCAGCCAUUCCGCGUGUGCGAUGAAGGCCUUCGGGUUGUAAAGCACUUUUGGCAGGAAAGAAAAGUUGUGGGUUAAUACCUCGCAACGAUGACGGUACCUGCAGAAUAAGCACCGGCUAACUACGUGCCAGCAGCCGCGGUAAUACGUAGGGUGCAAGCGUUAAUCGGAAUUACUGGGCGUAAAGCGUGCGCAGGCGGUUCGGAAAGAAAGAUGUGAAAUCCCAGGGCUCAACCUUGGAACUGCAUUUUUAACUCCCGAACUAGAGUAUGUCAGAGGGAGGUGGAAUUCCGCGU